This 1355-nucleotide ribosomal RNA is filed under the name uncultured bacterium. RNAcentral describes it as "bacterial SSU rRNA". It matches the Rfam family "Bacterial small subunit ribosomal RNA", at positions 28 to 1381 of the family's 1533-position model. The record is from RNAcentral.
AUUGAACGCUUGCGGCAGGCUUAACACAUGCAAGUCGAACGAUGAAACUCUAGCUUGCUAGAGAAGAUUAGUGGCGGACGGGUGAGUAACAUUUAGGAAUCUGCCUAGUAGUGGGGGAUAGCUCGGGGAAACUCGAAUUAAUACCGCAUACGACCUACGGGUGAAAGGGGGCGCAAGCUCUUGCUAUUAGAUGAGCCUAAAUCAGAUUAGCUAGUUGGUGGGGUAAAGGCCCACCAAGGCGACGAUCUGUAACUGGUCUGAGAGGAUGAUCAGUCACACCGGAACUGAGACACGGUCCGGACUCCUACGGGAGGCAGCAGUGGGGAAUAUUGGACAAUGGGGGCAACCCUGAUCCAGCCAUGCUGCGUGUGUGAAGAAGGCCUUUUGGUUGUAAAGCACUUUAAGCAGGGAGGAGAGGCUAAUGGUUAAUACCCAUUAGAUUAGACGUUACCUGCAGAAUAAGCACCGGCUAACUCUGUGCCAGCAGCCGCGGUAAUACAGAGGGUGCGAGCGUUAAUCGGAAUUACUGGGCGUAAAGCGAGUGUAGGUGGCUCAUUAAGUCACAUGUGAAAUCCCCGGGCUUAACCUGGGAACUGCAUGUGAUACUGGUUGUGCUAGAAUAUGUGAGAGGGAAGUAGAAUUCCAGGUGUAGCGGUGAAAUGCGUAGAGAUCUGGAGGAAUACCGAUGGCGAAGGCAGCUUCCUGGCAUAAUAUUGACACUGAGAUUCGAAAGCGUGGGUAGCAAACAGGAUUAGAUACCCUGGUAGUCCACGCCGUAAACGAUGUCUACUAGCCGUUGGGGUCCUUGAGACUUUAGUGGCGCAGUUAACGCGAUAAGUAGACCGCCUGGGGAGUACGGCCGCAAGGUUAAAACUCAAAUGAAUUGACGGGGGCCCGCACAAGCGGUGGAGCAUGUGGUUUAAUUCGAUGCAACGCGAAGAACCUUACCUGGUCUUGACAUAGUGAGAAUCCUGCAGAGAUGCGGGAGUGCCUUCGGGAAUUCACACACAGGUGCUGCAUGGCUGUCGUCAGCUCGUGUCGUGAGAUGUUGGGUUAAGUCCCGCAACGAGCGCAACCCUUUUCCUUAUUUGCCAGCGGGUUAAGCCGGGAACUUUAAGGAUACUGCCAGUGACAAACUGGGGGAAGGCGGGGACGACGUCAAGUCAUCAUGGCCCUUACGACCAGGGCUACACACGCGCUACAAUGGUAGGUACAGAGGGUUGCUACACAGCGAUGUGAUGCUAAUCUCAAAAAGCCUAUCGUAGUCCGGAUUGGAGUCUGCAACUCGACUCCAUGAAGUCGGAAUCGCUAGUAAUCGCAGAUCAGAAUGCUGCGGUGAAUACGUUCCCGGGCCU